This 211-nucleotide small RNA is filed under the name Chinchilla lanigera (long-tailed chinchilla). Its description in RNAcentral is "7SK RNA (ENSCLAG00000022077.1)". It matches the Rfam family "7SK RNA", at positions 71 to 250 of the family's 331-position model. From Rfam's summary of the family: 7SK was discovered as an abundant small nuclear RNA in the mid-70s but a possible function has only recently been suggested. The record is from RNAcentral. Lineage: Eukaryota; Metazoa; Chordata; Mammalia; Rodentia; Chinchillidae.
GAGGCUAGGUGGGUAUUCACUCCCUCUCUCACUGCUUCAUGUGCGUCCCUCCGCAAGCUGCAUGCUCAGUGGAAGAGGACGACCACCCCUGAUGGAGGAGGACCGUUUCCUCAGUCAAAGGUAUACAUGUAGCUGUGCUCCCCUGCCAGGACCUCCAAAAAAGCUCUCAAAUAAAUCAGUGAUCUUACAGCAACUCUCAGGUGUCUUGCUU